CGUGCGCAGCUACCAUGCAGUCGAGCGGAUGAAGGAGCUUGCUCCUGAAUUCAGCGGCGGACGGGUGAGUAAUGCCUAGGAAUCUGCCUGGUAGUGGGGGACAACGUUUCGAAAGGAACGCUAAUACCGCAUACGUCCUACGGGAGAAAGCAGGGGACCUUCGGGCCUUGCGCUAUCAGAUGAGCCUAGGUCGGAUUAGCUAGUUGGUGAGGUAAUGGCUCACCAAGGCGACGAUCCGUAACUGGUCUGAGAGGAUGAUCAGUCACACUGGAACUGAGACACGGUCCAGACUCCUACGGGAGGCAGCAGUGGGGAAUAUUGGACAAUGGGCGAAAGCCUGAUCCAGCCAUGCCGCGUGUGUGAAGAAGGUCUUCGGAUUGUAAAGCACUUUAAGUUGGGAGGAAGGGCAUUAACCUAAUACGUUAGUGUUUUGACGUUACCGACAGAAUAAGCACCGGCUAACUCUGUGCCAGCAGCCGCGGUAAUACAGAGGGUGCAAGCGUUAAUCGGAAUUACUGGGCGUAAAGCGCGCGUAGGUGGUUUGUUAAGUUGGAUGUGAAAUCCCCGGGCUCAACCUGGGAACUGCAUUCAAAACUGACAAGCUAGAGUAUGGUAGAGGGUGGUGGAAUUUCCUGUGUAGCGGUGAAAUGCGUAGAUAUAGGAAGGAACACCAGUGGCGAAGGCGACCACCUGGACUGAUACUGACACUGAGGUGCGAAAGCGUGGGGAGCAAACAGGAUUAGAUACCCUGGUAGUCCACGCCGUAAACGAUGUCAACUAGCCGUUGGGAGCCUUGAGCUCUUAGUGGCGCAGCUAACGCAUUAAGUUGACCGCCUGGGGAGUACGGCCGCAAGGUUAAAACUCAAAUGAAUUGACGGGGGCCCGCACAAGCGGUGGAGCAUGUGGUUUAAUUCUAAGCAACGCGAAGAACCUUACCACGCCUUGACAUCCAAUGAACUUUCCAGAGAUGGAUUGGUGCCUUCUGGAACAUUGAGACAGUGCUGCAUGGCUGUCGUCAGCUCGUCGUCGUGAGAUGAUGGGUUAAGUCCCGUAACGAGCGCAACCCCUUGUCCUUAGUUAACCAGCAACGUAUG
RNAcentral lists this ribosomal RNA (1094 nucleotides) under uncultured bacterium. RNAcentral's name for it is "bacterial SSU rRNA". It matches the Rfam family "Bacterial small subunit ribosomal RNA", at positions 43 to 1130 of the family's 1533-position model. The record is from RNAcentral.